Non-coding RNA from Agelaius phoeniceus (red-winged blackbird), 746 nucleotides. NCBI's taxonomy places the organism in Eukaryota, Metazoa, Chordata, Aves, Passeriformes, Icteridae. The record is from RefSeq and is a predicted model, not a curated record.
UCCCUGUCAUUGCUGCUGUUCCUGGCUUUCCAGCAGGUUUGCUCUGCAGAGAGCUGCAGGUUGGCUAUGAAAUAUGACAAAGCGUUCAUUUAAAUGCACACCAUGAUGUCGGCCCCAGUUUCUCCCCUGUCGAGGCAAACGCUUUGGCUAAUUAGCAAAACGUGUCAAAGAAAAUGAUUAAUGUCCCGGGAGGAGGCUGAGCUGCCUUUGUGCCGGCAUUGCCUGACUUCUGCUCUUAAAGGUUUUAUUAAAAGAUAAGGGAGCUCCUGACGGGGAACCUCGCGUGCUGCUGAUUCAGAAAUGAACCCGAGGAGCGGUGGGCACUGCAGGCAGCAGUGAGGAGAUGUGCAGAGCCCAGGGCUUGCAGGGCAGCUCUGGGCUGAGGGCGAGGAGCUGGGAUGCACAGCUGCUGCUGCAGAUCCCCCUGGUCAGAGCUGCCUUCCCUGGAGAACCCUUGGGCUCAGGAUAUUACCCCCUGGGGAAAUAAUCCUGUUAUUUGAAAUGUAAAAAAGAAUUCACAUGGACAACAAUGGAUUCCUAAAUGAACCCAACAACAGCCCCCAAUCCCAGUGUGGCAUCACUUGCCUCAGAUAGGGAAAAUAUUAAGUUUCUUUUAAAAAGGUUCUUGUCUCUUCUUUUUCUCUUCUCCUGCCCCAGAUCAAGAUCUUCACUGAAGACAAAUAACAGCUCGUCUCUGCAACACCCAAACAUAAGCAACUAAUUUGGACCACCGAAAGGAAAAAGGG